GGUUGGAUUUUAAGCUGGCCCUACACGCUGCAUUCAUGUAUGCGGCUACAAAUGACAGCUACAAAUUUCCAUUGUUCUCGAUCUGUCAGCUCGUCGCCGCUCGUAACCCGAUGUAUGCGGGUUACGAGCGGCGACAAGUGACGUAAAUUCCACCUGCUAUGUUUACAUUACUGUUUCAAGUGUUGAAGGGAGGGAUGAUCAUCGAAUUCAAUUUUUAAAUUUGAGUAAAAUAAAAUUAAAAUUACGUGCUUAUUUAAGCUACUGAUAAAAUAAAUACAAAUUAUUAAAAAUAUAUUUAUGUAAUGUUUUAUUUGAGGGCAAUAAUAAUAUUGAGAAUAAAAUGAGGCUUAAAUAAACGUAUACGAAAACAAAAAUGUUGGAUACAUUAUGUGGGGAUGUGUUGGUAUUGUGUUUGGAGAUUCCUUGGAAGUUUUCAGGCGGACAUUUUCGAUUAGCAGUCAACCACUCCAGCACUUAACAAUGGAAGGAGCUAAAACCGUCCAAAAAUCGAAUAAAAAUGUAAGUUACACCUUUUCUCAUAGAAUGACACACUAAAUUAUUGGUUGUUUUAUUAUUUUAGCCUAUUCAAGAUGAGGAAAAAGUCAUCGAAUUGAUUAAUUUGGUAAAAACUUAUCCGUGCAUCUGGUUAGAUACUGAUCGCCAGUAUAAAAACACCGAAAUAAGGCAUCAAGCCUGGCAACAGAUACCAUCCGUGCUGGAGGAGGAUCAUCAGUGCGUUCAUGCUAAAUGGAGGAAUUUAAUGAAUUCCUACCGGCGGACUAAAAAGGAGAUCGCUUUGAGUCAGACAACAGGUUCCGGUUCCAGCGAGCUAUUGAAGGAGGUUUGGUAUGCCUACGAGCAUAUGUCGUUUUUACAUGAAACGACAGCUCCACGUCGUACAAUCAAUACUGCAAAUCUUGAAGGAACUUCUCGGGAACCUGUUGUUAUCUCGACCGCUCCUGCAACCACCGCUUCAUGCAGUUCAACUGCCUCAACAACAGCCACGACAACUGCCACAACAUCCUCCACUGGCUCCUAUAGUGGCAUGCUAGAGGGUCGCACAGCGUCCAAAGGACGCAAAAGAAAGUUUAGCGAAACGACUCGAUCAAGUCAGAUUAGCGAAUGCUUGACAGCCAUUCAAAGCAUUGCUAAUACUGCUACUGCUGCUGCACCUUGUUCAAAAGCCAGGGCUCUGGGCAACUUUGUAGAGGCACAAGUUGCCACCUUCGAAGACAAACACCCAGAGUUCUGUGCUAAACUUAUCAGGUCCAUAACGACGGUCAUGAAUGAUCAAAUUGAUCAAUUUUAUGUGGACCAACAUGCCU
This is a long non-coding RNA of Anopheles gambiae (African malaria mosquito), 1325 nucleotides long. RefSeq lists it as uncharacterized. The transcript is spliced from 3 exons. Lineage: Eukaryota; Metazoa; Arthropoda; Insecta; Diptera; Culicidae. The record is from RefSeq and is a predicted model, not a curated record.